Molecule: long non-coding RNA, 7455 nt
Organism: Dromaius novaehollandiae (emu)
Lineage: Eukaryota; Metazoa; Chordata; Aves; Casuariiformes; Dromaiidae
Exons: 2
Source: RefSeq, a predicted model, not a curated record
UCGUCUGCUCCGGAGGAGCCGGGGGGCGCGCAGGCGCGCUGCGCGCGGCCUCGCCCGGGCUGAGGCGGCCGGGCCCGACGCCGCCGCCAUCGGCUGCCCCCAGCGGCUCCGCCGGCGCGGCCCCGGGCGGUCCGGAGGGGCUGGCCGUGCCCCCCGGGGAGCGCCUCUCGGCCCCGCACGGGCGCGUUAGGGCGCCUUCGCGGCGGGCCCAGGCCGGGCGUUGCGGCCGCGCCGCCCCUCGCGCGGAGCAGAGAGCGAAAAUGCCCCAGACAAGCGCAGUGGCUGGGUGCGGUCUGACUGGAUGUGAAGAGUUUCAGAGUUUUGUCCAGUAUUCUGCCACACAAGUGCAAUGUCUGGUAAAUGUAAAUAUUGUUAUUUUUAUUACUUAAUGUUAUUGCUGUUAUGGUGGGAGUAGAAGGAGUUUAGCUCUGAAAUAUGGUACUUUACACAGAUUGGGAGGCGGAUUGUCUUCAAUGACUGACCAAAACUGGGAGUAAGAGAGAAAUACCAUCUCUUUUGAAUUAAUUAUGAACCACACAGCUCUUGCUAUUAUCUGUUUACACAUUAUUGGCCUUGUGAGGUACUGGUGAGAGAUUGCCUUUCACUGUCUGGUCCAAAUGUACUUUAAGUCCAAUUUCGCUAAAAAGACUGCUCGCUUUACUUGUUGAAAGGGUCAUUGUGUUAGUUAUUACAGUGUUUUCUUUGUGCUCGCUUUCCCCGAAUUCCAGUAACUACUUUGUAGAAAAGUUUGAAAGUGAACUUUUGAUGCCUGUGAAAGCUGCUUCAUUGACUUUAUUGACUCCAGAGGCUGAAGUUCUUUAUCCACAGAGAUCUUUAAAAGGAUACUAAAAAGUUUCAGCCAGAGCUUAUAGAAUUUGGUACUUAUGGUUAAGUAUUAUGGGCCCAAUGCUGUUCCCAUGGAGACCGAAAGGAAUUUUUCCAUUGAAUUAAGUGGUAGCAAAGCAUAUCCUUUAUUAAGUGGGAAAAGGAGUAGACUGGAGAACUCAGUUCGUUGUUACUGGGUUUGUUUGCUUGCCGGCUUUUCUGUAUAAAGAAAUAAACCAGAAGAAAUUAUAGAUAUUUACAUUGUGAUUCGUCUGCUUCAUACUUCCUGUGUUUGUAGGUGAAACUGUGUUUGUAGCUACAAUGGGAAUACCCCAAGAGGCAACAGUAGAGACAUCUUUGUUUUACUUAUUGCUAAUGUCUUUCCUUGAAAGUCUGGAUGUGUGGAGGGGGUUUUAGUUCACCCCAAGUCUCCUGGUUGGGAGAGGUCAGCAGCGGUACAACUGGUUUCUGUUGGCAGAUAUUAUUAGCACCUCUUUAACUGAAGGUUGUGUGCCAGCUGUAAGGGCACAGUUUAAUGUAAAUUUUUAAAACACUCCAACUUGUUAACAGUAAAAUUCUGAUGAUUUACUAAAAGACAAAUCACAACUAUACCCACAUUUAGAAAAAGGUCUUCCAUUUUGGAUGUUUGUGAGACAGCUCAAGUAAGUAGUUGUCAAAAGUCUACGGUGAGCAGACUCUUUCGUCCAAAGUGAAUUCACUGCUUGAGUGAGGUCUCUACCUGUAUUCUGCAAUAGAUAAAUAACCAGAUCCUGCCAGUCUUACAUAUGAAAAUCCACACUAAUUUACACAAAAAGAGAAAAUCAAGGCCUAAAAUUGUACAAUAUAGUGCUGAAAAUUGUUUUUCUGGUCGGAACUCUAUCACGAAAUCCUGGACUACUGAAGUCAACAGAUUUAUGAUUGAUUUAAAUGGAGCGAGGAUUUUGUCUAUAAUGAAGUCCUUUCAUUUUGGAUCACUGUGAGAUUUCUCUUGUUCCUUCUUAGUGCCUUAUGACACAUUCUCUCUGUCCUUGCCUCAGACAAAGGGAAAUUAUACUAUCAUAGUCUCCCUUUAAAUAUUUUCUAUUUGAGGGCUCACUGAAAAGACUCCAGAGGCAAAUUCUUGGUUUAGAAGUUGCUAUUUAUGUCUAGACACAUCUGAAUGUCGUUAUGCUUUGAAUGUUCUGGAUUGCUUGCCACUUUCUUUGUAAAGAUGUAUGAGUCUAGAGAGAGAGUGCAUUAUUUUAAAUUAACUUGAAAUAUGCUUUAACCAUGUCAAGGUUCAACUUGUUGCAACUGGCUCCCGUGAUAAAAAUAUAUAACAGUAUAUAAAGCAAGACCACAAGUAAAAUUAUUAUUAUUUGUACUUUAAAGCAGAGCAGAAACACAUUCUCAAUAUGUGGCACUGUAUUCCUUUAACAUAUUACUUUUAGUAUUUGAAUUAUCAUAUUGUCUCAGACUUCUGGUCAUGGCCAGGAGCCUACAUACUAGGCAUUCUACACAAACAAAACCAUUAUGUUGUUUUUACCUUAAAGGGUUUCAGUCUAAGUGUGAGGCAGGUGAUGACAGGGAAUACAGUCAGGCAGGGAAGUACCAGAAAAUAAUGAAAAGAUAAUAACUGCCAAGAAAGAUGGUGGUCUCGCUAUUGCUAAUCAACUAUCAAAGCUCUCAAUAAAUAGAUAUGUUUGGCAAUUUAUAUAUUUCAUAGGAAAAAAAGUAGCUACAGAGUUAUGCACACCUGGAGUAAGGAGCCAGAUUGUCUUCAAUACAUGCCUUCAGUUCCAAAAAUAGGUUACAUGACACAGUUUUCUUUUAAAAGGUCAAAGAAUUAAUGUUUCGUUUGCUUUUGUCAAAGCUAUGAAUCAGUCAGGUGGCUCCAAAACUUUGAACAAGAGACAAUACUAAAUAUGCCUCUUCCUAAGUAAAUUGUACAUUGUAACUGUAAUAUUGUAUGUAACAGAUUUUUACUGAGCAUUCUUGUAUUGGCUUGGAAUUGAACUUCUAACUUCAGCUGAAGUAUAUUUUUGCAAGUACUGGCCCUUGCACUUCAAGACACGGACAAGUGGGUGAGAAUCUAGAGUAAAGCAACAAAAAUGAUCAAACGUCUAGAAAUCGUCGCUUUGCUUACUUGUCUGGACAAAGAUUGAAAGAAUGGAGAUUAUGUGAUGUGAAAGAGAGAAGACAGAUUUCAAGCAGACGCUGGAAGUAUCUGUUCCUUGGAAUUGAUUGCUUAGGGAGACUGCAGCAGGUGUUGGAACAGGCUGGGAAGACAUCUGGCAGGAGCGGUGUGCACGCGGUUGAUCCUAUCUUCAGGCAGGAAGUCAGGUGAUCACUUGAACUCACUUGCACCUCCAUUUUUCUGCAGUUCCGUAAUUCUAGAAGGAUUCUUUGAAGUAUUCUAAAGUACUAAAUUGCUGCUUGUUUUUAUUCAUUUCUAAAUCUUGUGUUUGCUUAUCAAGCAGGUAAGUCAGGAGAGGGGCAGGAGAGACAAAAUGAAAAGCAACCAUAACCAUCUGUAGCUCUAACAAGGCUUGCACAUCCACUUGAAGAAGGAUGGACUUACAACUCCUAUAAUUAUUUUCUGCCUUGCUGUUGUGUAGGUAUUAAUGUCACGGCGUUUCUGUAUGAGCUAGAUUAAGAAAUACAGAAUUUUGUAGUGUUUUUCUUUAAUGAGAAACAGAGCCUCUGUGUCAAUCACAAUACUUUCUCUCACUGAAUUUGGUGAGAGCAUGGUAGGACUCACAGUGAUGUUAGUACAGUGCUGGGCAUGUCCAAGUACAAAUCUUCAAAUUUGUUUUGGAUAUCAAGGAUGGGAAUGCACAAAAAUAAAUUAUAUGGUGUAUGCCAGUUAGUUAUGGUAUCAAAACUAACUGUGAACAGUCGACACAAAUGGAGAGCUUGGACAGUAUUUUCAGGGACAUUUCAUCCCUAAACCUGGCAAAACAGAGGUCACAUAUAGACAUGAAAAGAGUGAGACUCCAUGGUUUUACAUCAUUGUAAAGCAUGCAGAAUAUUAUUACGUAUCUGUAUAUCAGUUUAUCUAACUGAAUUGUGUUACUGCUGAUUGCAUGCUGUUUUACAUUCUUUUUUUGAAGUCUGGAGAAAAUAUUUCAAAUGAACAAUCAAAAGAAUAUUUUACUCUUUUCACAUUCAGGGUGUGGAUUCUAUGAAACAUUUAUUCAGAAAACAGAAUAUUAGGGCCUGACAGAUAUCUCUAACGUCACUGAGUAAGCGGGUUAUAUGGAGAUUUCUAGUACAAACAAUCCAGUAUUUUGAUGAAUACGUGAGUAAUAUCAGUAUAGGAGUUGGAAAGCUAGAUUAGAUUGGUGAUGAAGUUACUGUCAUUUCAGUGAUUAUAAUAAAGCUUGAAAAUUAACAAUCUAUUAAAAUGAGUGCUGGCAGAGAAAUUUACGUCUUUCUUUAUCAUUUUGUUUCUUUAAACAAAGAACAACAGAGCACUGCUUUACAGUGUUAAUAUCUUUGUUGCACAGGGCUAGACAUAGUAGAAACAGAUUGCUGCAUGAUAUAGUAUCUUAGAUAGUGAAUUUUGCAAGAAGGUCAGGGAAAUGUUGUAUUCCCACAUGGAGCUUUUUGGUCAUGGCUUUAUGUUUGUUGUUGUUUUUGUGUGUGACAUUUGUCUGGGAUUCUGACACUUUAUUUUCACUCAGUGUUGUCAUCAAAAUGAGAUGGACCCUCUCUGUUAACUGAAGUGGCUAGGAGCUCUGAGACCUUAGAUUGUAAUUACAUUGCUUCAAAUGUCAAGUUCUUCAAAAGCAUAUCACUUUUGGUGAUAUAAACCUAAGCAGCUUAGGUGAUAGAAAACUUAAGUAGCUUAAUAGCUUCACGAUGCCUUAUAAUGUAUUGGGAAUCUCCCUGCAUAGAGAAUCUGAUAGGGGAAAUCUGAGUCAUGGUGACAGCUUUAACAAACAGGAAGACAGUGAAGCGAAGUGAGUAUGUGAUGAGCUCAGAAUAGGUGAGGUGAUGAUUUUCUAUUUAUAGAUGCAGUAAGAGGCUCAGAGACAGGAACUCCAGGCAGGGACAGUAUUUGGUACUAUAUGAAAAUUAUUCCUUUUUAGAGUUGCAAGUGGAACAGAAUUUGUAGCUGGCAUAGUCUCAGAGUUCCCUGGUUCUAUAAACACCUUUCUAUAGAAACACAGCUUUUGAUGAGAGACUGAAAGAUAGUACAUUUUAGCAAUACAGACAUUGCUGAAUUUUAUCUUUCUGUUCUUUAGCAAGUGUAUUUUGUUUUAACAGAGGAAGAAUGAAAUGAUGCUGUGUAUCUUUUCAACUGUACCUGAGCUUUUAUGUUAACAGCAGUCUCGUCUCAUUAUUUUAGGGUAUAAUUCAGGAAUGAAUUUGGUCCAGUUUAUUUACUGGAAGAUUCUCCCUGUUGUUAAGCAAUUCUGGAAAGUAGAGUUAAAGAACUCAAAUACAGUAAUAUGUUUUCUUCAUGAGAGACAUUAAUUAUUACAGAAUCCGGUUGCAUCUAACUAAUCUCCAUCAGCUCAAAUUAAUAACAAAGAGAUUGUGUUUGUGUCAGUUAUUUGAUAAAGGGUGUCAUGUUGUAGCUACCUUCUGAAAAAAAGAGGGGACUCCAGAGCUCAGACUGCCAGUUAGAAACCUUACAGUUCUUACUUGGAGACUGACAUAAAAUGAGUGCCUUUGAAAAGAUGGCUGUACAGUAAACCUGUCUACUGCAGCUGGCACAGACCUGGCACUCUUGAUGGGAGUCUUAACAUAGGGAUCAAAGAUUACAUUAACAAUUGCAAAUGUAUUACUUCUCUGAAUCCUAGAAGUUGUCCCUCUAAGGCAAUGUAGAGCUGUAGUGCUAGGUAGUGCUGAGAAGUGGCUGGGAAGGUGCUAGUUCUUCCAGGAGGCUGAUCCAGUGCUGCUCUGUGCUAGAACAUGAAAUAGUGCCAGGGACUGCUCCCGAGCCCUGGGACACAAUCAUCCGUGCUUGCUGUUGUUAGGCUGGGCCCUAGCAUGGUUUUGGCUUGUGUCAGCACUUUCCCAGACAAUUCCUAGACAUGUCUUAAGAGUUAGCUUGGGCCAUUUCCAAUACACGGUUUGAACAUGCCACUCUGUUUUGAAGAGUAGAAAGCUUUAAUAACAACGAUGACGGCCAUCCUGUGCUACUUGGCCCCAGUGCCAGAGAAUGGUCCCAGCAUGUUCAGUUUAGUAGGAGAGAUGUACCCUUUUUUCAGGAUAGUACCACAGAAGAAAAAAAAAAAACAAAAGAAACCAUAAAACAUCAGACAUUAUAAUCCUACAAACAAGUUAAAAGUUUUAUCGUGAAAUACCUUGUCAUAAAAUAUUUUCUGUCUUUCUUUAAGUCACAAGUAACACAUUUGUAUCUAUAAAGUCAAUGAAUCUGUCUCUGCCUCUGGCUAGACCCCUGUCUUGCAUCCAUCAGAGUCAAGGAUCAAUGUUAUGCUUGUUUCAUGGAUGCUGAAUUGAGUAUUUAGUGCCCAGCUCUGUAUGUCUGCAUACUCUUAAAUCCUGAUGAGUUCAAUGAGCACUGAAAGAGCUCAUCGCCUCAGAGGAUCAGACAGAUAUUGAAGUCAGUGAAGCCUCACUGAAGUCCAUGUCACAAGCUUAAAAAGGUCAGUUAUAUAUUUACAAAAGCCCAUGAGAGUUGAAUUGUGCCCUGAUUGAGACUCUACUGGAAGUAAUACAUGUGAUUGUGUUGAUGUUUACAUUAUUUCCUGGCAGGGAGAAAUUCAGACUUGUUCUUGAUGUUUUUAGGCAACACAAAGCUAGCAGGCUGAUUUGUAUUCAACUGCUGCAUAUUGAGACUGGUCAUCGCUCUUGUAAAUGGUAGAUAGGAGGAACUGCUAUAGCAGAGAAAUAUUUCUUCUGUUUUAGGAUAGAUUUUAACCAUAGUCCUCCAGCUCCUAAUAACCAAAGCAAGAGUUAUGUGUCUAGCAUUCUGUGCCCCACACUUACAGUUAUUUAUUCCGCGAUGUGCAGGAAGGAAGGAGACGUGUGCAAUCUCCAUUCUUCUUAACAGGAACUGUGCACCUAAUUCUCUGUGCAUUGUACUGAAAAUGAACUAGGAAGAUGUGUUCUGCAUCAGCAAAAAGGCUCCCUUAUUCAGCUGGAAUGAGAACAUGCACACUAUAACUUGGGAGUAAAGAAAAUCACUGUAAACGAUUUCUUUAAACAGGGUCUGUUGGGUUUUUCCCUAAAUUUUUGCUGAGAGUGAAGAUUCUGCAGUAUUUUUUCUCCCUUCUCCCACCCAAUUGCUAACCUUUCAGUUGCAUGCAUUUCUGCUGCUUCUAGCACUUUUAGUCUAAUGAGUUUUUCAUCUCUUCACUAGCUUAUGGCUAAAACAGUCCUUGUAACAGUAAUUUUAGUUACUUACUUUCCUGUAUAAUUAUUUCCAUUUGUUCCCAGUCUCUCUCUUCCUCGGGAAAGGGCUUCCUGGUGUCUCACCUUGAUAGACCUGUCCUCAGAAUUUCUCUGCUUAGUGCAAACGGCCUCACUGCAGGUGUCAAAAUCAGCUGUCAGCACCUUUGUGAGACAUAUUUUCAGGUUGUGGUGAUACCUUAUUCUUAGCUUGUAUGUUGCUUAAAUCAAGACUGAAAUUUUACUGUUUGGCUGCUCAAUUAAUAAAAAGUGCAUUGGCUUACA